AUUGAACGCUGGCGGCAGGCCUAACACAUGCAAGUCGAGCGGAGCGGCGGACGGGUGAGUAAUGCCUAGGAAUCUGACUGGCAGUGGGGGAUAACGUCCGGUCACGGGAGCUAAUCCCGCUUACUAUCAGAUGAGCCUAGGUCGGAUUAGCUAGUUGGUGGGGUAAAGGCCUACCAAGGCGACGAUCCGUAACUGGUCUGAGAGGAUGAUCAGUCACACUGGAACUGAGACACGGUCCAGACUCCUACGGGAGGCAGCAGUGGGGAAGAUUGGACAAUGGGCGAAAGCCUGAUCCAGCCAUGCCGCGUGUGGGAAGAAGGUCUUCGGAUUGUAAAGCACUGUAAGUUGGGAGGCGUUACCAACAGAAUAAGCACCGGCUAACUACGUGCCAGCAGCCGCGGUAAUAC
RNAcentral lists this ribosomal RNA (407 nucleotides) under uncultured bacterium. Its description in RNAcentral is "partial 16S ribosomal RNA". It matches the Rfam family "Bacterial small subunit ribosomal RNA", at positions 30 to 526 of the family's 1533-position model. The record is from RNAcentral.